UGGGGAAUAUUGGACAAUGGGGGCAACCCUGAUCCAGCGAUGCCGCGUGUGUGAAGAAGGCCUGCGGGUUGUAAAGCACUUUAGUUGGGGAAGAGGCCAUUUUAGAUGGUAGACAUUACCCAAAGAAUAAGCACCGGCUAACUCUGUGCCAGCAGCCGCGGUAAUACAGAGGGUGCGAGCGUUAAUCGGAAUGACUGGGCGUAAAGGGCGUGUAGGCGGUUUAGUCAGUCAGUUGUGAAAGCUCUGGGCUUAACCUAGAGAGGCCAACUGAGACGGCUAGGCUAGAGUGGUGUAGAGGGUAGUGGAAUUCCCGGUGUAGCGGUGAAAUGCGUAGAUAUCGGGAAGAACACCGGUGGCGAAGGCGGCUACCUGGACACACACUGACGCUGAGGCGCGAAAGCGUGGGUAGCGAACA
This 415-nucleotide ribosomal RNA is filed under the name uncultured bacterium. RNAcentral describes it as "bacterial SSU rRNA". It matches the Rfam family "Bacterial small subunit ribosomal RNA", at positions 355 to 774 of the family's 1533-position model. The record is from RNAcentral.